RNAcentral lists this ribosomal RNA (497 nucleotides) under uncultured bacterium. RNAcentral's name for it is "partial 16S ribosomal RNA". It matches the Rfam family "Bacterial small subunit ribosomal RNA", at positions 28 to 507 of the family's 1533-position model. The record is from RNAcentral.
GAUGAACGCUGGCGGCGUGCCUAAUACAUGCAAGUCGAGCGAACGGACGAGAAGCUUGCUUCUCUGAUGUUAGCGGCGGACGGGUGAGUAACACGUGGAUAACCUACCUAUAAGACUGGGAUAACUUCGGGAAACCGGAGCUAAUACCGGAUAAUAUUUUGAACCGCAUGGUUCAAAAUUGAAAGACGGUCUUGCUGUCACUUAUAGAUGGAUCCGCGCUGCAUUAGCUAUUUGGUAAGGUAACGGCUUACCAAGGCAACGAUGCAUAGCCGACCUGAGAGGGUGAUCGGCCACACUGGAACUGAGACACGGUCCAGACUCCUACGGGAGGCAGCAGUAGGGAAUCUUCCGCAAUGGGCGAAAGCCUGACGGAGCAACGCCGCGUGAGUGAUGAAGGUCUUCGGAUCGUAAAACUCUGUUAUUAGGGAAGAACAUAUGUGUAAGUAACUGUGCACAUCUUGACGGUACCUAAUCAGAAAGCCACGGCUAACUACGUG